AUACGGAGGGUGCAAGCGUUAUCCGGAAGCAUUGGGCUUAAAGGGUCCGUAGGCGGGCUAAUAAGUCAGGGGUGAAAUCCCACAGCUUAACUGUGGAACUGCCCUUGAUACUGUUGGUCUUGAGUUACAGUGAAGUGGUUAGAAUGUGUAGUGUAGCGGUGAAAUGCAUAGAGAUUACACAGAAUACCGAUUGCGAAGGCAGAUCACUAACUGUAUACUGACGCUAAUGGACGAAAGCGUGGGGAGCGAACAGGAUUAGAAACCCGAGUAGUCC
This 274-nucleotide ribosomal RNA is filed under the name uncultured bacterium. RNAcentral's name for it is "partial 16S ribosomal RNA". It matches the Rfam family "Bacterial small subunit ribosomal RNA", at positions 523 to 796 of the family's 1533-position model. The record is from RNAcentral.